GGAAGGGUCGCAUAGUUGGUCUAGUGCGCCGUCUUGGAAAGGCGGUAUGGGGGCAACCUCAUCAGGGGUUCGAAUCCCCUCCCUUCCGCCA
RNAcentral lists this transfer RNA (91 nucleotides) under Candidatus Saccharimonadota bacterium. RNAcentral describes it as "tRNA-Ser". It matches the Rfam family "tRNA". From Rfam's summary of the family: Transfer RNA (tRNA) molecules are approximately 80 nucleotides in length. Their secondary structure includes four short double-helical elements and three loops (D, anti-codon, and T loops). Lineage: Bacteria; Candidatus Saccharimonadota. The record is from RNAcentral.